This 423-nucleotide ribosomal RNA is filed under the name Triticum aestivum (bread wheat). RNAcentral's name for it is "partial small subunit ribosomal RNA". The record is from RNAcentral. Lineage: Eukaryota; Viridiplantae; Streptophyta; Magnoliopsida; Poales; Poaceae.
AUGGCUUCAGCCGGUUCCAUGAUGAGGCCGCCGUGUGCUGAUCGUGAAGACAUGCCGAACAAGUGGGAGAACGCCAAGAUGGACGAGGUGACGGAAAAAGAUAUGAAAACUCCAUCAUGUUGGUGUGGAGAUGUUUGCAAGGUGAAGGUGUCCACCGACCGCAAGAAGUCAUGGACGUAAGGGAGAAGAUUCUUUGUGUGUCCCAACUAUGCACAUGAUCGGAGGCUUCCAACAAACGCCUAUGACGUACCACCGGUAUGGUCAAAGAGUAAUCUCAAAUUUUGUCCAACUUCAACUCAUAAUCCUAACAACAAUUUUUUUUUAUCCUAUGCAGUCACCACCUCCUCUUUGCAAGUACUUCACAUGGAUAGAUCAAGAUGUUCCAGAGGAUGUCGAAAAGGACCAAUAUCAAGAUUGUCUUAG